GCAUAUAUUUUUAUAUGAGUAGCGAACGGGUGCGUAACACGUGAGAAUCUACCCAUAGCUUAUGGUUAAAUGCCAUAGAAUCUUAUAGAUUUAUAUAUAUAUCGGUUAUGGAUGAGCUUGCGUGGUAUUAGGUAGUUGGUGUGGUAAUGGCGCACCAAGCCCAAGAUGCCUAGCCGGUUUGAGAGAACGAUCGGCCACACUGGGACUGAGACACGGCCCAGACGCUUACGAGCGGCAGCAGUGGGGAAUAUUGGACAAUGGGCGAAAGCCUGAUCCAGUGAUAUCGCUUUGGGGAUGACGGCGACAU
This 307-nucleotide ribosomal RNA is filed under the name uncultured Alphaproteobacteria bacterium. RNAcentral's name for it is "bacterial SSU rRNA". It matches the Rfam family "Bacterial small subunit ribosomal RNA", at positions 68 to 420 of the family's 1533-position model. The record is from RNAcentral. Lineage: Bacteria; Pseudomonadati; Pseudomonadota; Alphaproteobacteria.